UCCGGUUGAUCCUGCCGGACCUGACUGCUAUCGGAUUGGUACUAAGCCAUGCGAGUCAUUGUAGCAAUACAAGGCGGACGGCUCAGUAACACGUAGUCAACCUAACUCGUGGACGUGGAUAACCUCGGGAAACUGAGAAUAAACCACGAUAGAUCAUAGUGCCUGGAAUGGCUUAUGGUCCAAACAGUUUACUGCCAUGGGAUGGGACUGCGGCCUAUCAGCUUGUUGGUGAGGUAAUGGCCCACCAAGGCGAUUACAGGUACGGGCUCUGAGAGGAGAAGCCCGGAGAUGGGUACUGAGACACGGACCCAGGCCCUAUGGGGCGCAGCAGGCGAGAAACCUUAGCAAUGUGCGAAAGCACGACUGGGUCAGUCCGAGUGAUUCCUGAUAAAGGAGUCUUUUGCCUGUCCUAAAAGCACAGGUGAAUAAGGGGUGGGCAAGUCUGGUGUCAGCCGCCGCGGUAAUACCAGCACCUCGAGUGGUCAGGACGUUUAUUGGGCCUAAAGCAUCCGUAGCCGGCUCUGCAAGUCUUCGGUUAAAUCCACCUGCUCAACAGAUGGGCCGCUGGAGAUACUACAGAGCUAGGGAGUGGGAGAGGCAGACGGUAUUCAGUGGGUAGGGGUAAAAUCCUCUGAUCCAUUGAGGACCACCAGUGGCGAAGGCGGUCUGCCAGAACACGUUCGACGGUGAGGGAUGAAAGCUGGGGGAGCAAACCGGAUUAGAUACCCGGGUAGUCCCAGCUGUAAACGAUGCAAACUCGGUGAUGCAUUGGCUUAUGGCCAAUGCAGUGCCGCAGGGAAGCCGUUAAGUUUGCCGCCUGGGAAGUACGGACGCAAGUCUGAAACUUAAAGGAAUUGGCGGGGGAGCACCACAAGGGGUGAAGCCUGCGGUUCAAUUGGAUUCAACGCCGG
This 911-nucleotide ribosomal RNA is filed under the name uncultured archaeon. RNAcentral's name for it is "bacterial SSU rRNA". It matches the Rfam family "Archaeal small subunit ribosomal RNA", at positions 1 to 921 of the family's 1478-position model. The record is from RNAcentral.